UCUUUUAGAUGACGAAGUGGUUGAUGCCAUGCUUCCAAGAAAAGCUUCUAAGCUUCAGGUAACCAGGAACCGUACCCCAAACCGACACAGGUGGUUGGGUAGAGAAUACCAAGGCGCUUGAGAGAACUCGGGUGAAGGAACUAGGCAAAAUGGCACCGUAACUUCGGGAGAAGGUGCGCCGGUGAGGGUGAAGGACUUGCUCCGUAAGCCCAUGCCGGUCGAAGAUACCAGGCCGCUGCGACUGUUUAUUAAAAACACAGCACUCUGCAAACACGAAAGUGGACGUAUAGGGUGUGACGCCUGCCCGGUGCCGGAAGGUUAAUUGAUGGGGUUAGCUAACGCGAAGCUCUUGAUCGAAGCCCCGGUAAACGGCGGCCGUAACUAUAACGGUCCUAAGGUAGCGAAAUUCCUUGUCGGGUAAGUUCCGACCUGCACGAAUGGCGUAACGAUGGCGGCGCUGUCUCCACCCGAGACUCAGUGAAAUUGAAAUCGCUGUGAAGAUGCAGUGUAUCCGCGGCUAGACGGAAAGACCCCGUGAACCUUUACUAUAGCUUUGCACUGGACUUUGAAUUUGCUUGUGUAGGAUAGGUGGGAGGCUUUGAAGCGUGGACGCCAGUUCGCGUGGAGCCAACCUUGAAAUACCACCCUGGCAACUUUGAGGUUCUAACUCAGGUCCGUUAUCCGGAUCGAGGACAGUGUAUGGUGGGUAGUUUGACUGGGGCGGUCUCCUCCUAAAGAGUAACGGAGGAGUACGAAGGUGCGCUCAGACCGGUCGGAAAUCGGUCGUAGAGUAUAAAGGCAAAAGCGCGCUUGACUGCGAGACAGACACGUCGAGCAGGUACGAAAGUAGGUCUUAGUGAUCCGGUGGUUCUGUAUGGAAGGGCCAUCGCUCAACGGAUAAAAGGUACUCCGGGGAUAACAGGCUGAUACCGCCCAAGAGUUCAUAUCGACGGCGGUGUUUGGCACCUCGAUGUCGGCUCAUCACAUCCUGGGGCUGAAGCCGGUCCCAAGGGUAUGGCUGUUCGCCAUUUAAAGUGGUACGCGAGCUGGGUUUAGAACGUCGUGAGACAGUUCGGUCCCUAUCUGCCGUGGACGUUUGAGAUUUGAGAGGGGCUGCUCCUAGUACGAGAGGACCGGAGUGGACGAACCUCUGGUGUUCCGGUUGUCACGCCAGUGGCAUUGCCGGGUAGCUAUGUUCGGAAUAGAUAACCGCUGAAAGCAUCUAAGCGGGAAACUAGCCUCAAGAUGAGAUCUCACUGGGACCUUGAGUCCCCUGAAGGGCCGUCGAAGACUACGACGUUGAUAGGUUGGGUGUGUAAGCGCUGUGAGGCGUUGAGCUAACCAAUACUAAUUGCCCGUGAGGCUUGACCAU
This 1372-nucleotide ribosomal RNA is filed under the name Pseudomonas extremaustralis. RNAcentral describes it as "partial 23S ribosomal RNA". It matches the Rfam family "Bacterial large subunit ribosomal RNA", at positions 1574 to 2925 of the family's 2925-position model. RNAcentral also lists the same sequence under 7 other names. The record is from RNAcentral. Lineage: Bacteria; Pseudomonadati; Pseudomonadota; Gammaproteobacteria; Pseudomonadales; Pseudomonadaceae.